GUCUCUGUAGCUCAGUUGGUUAGAGCAUUUGACUGUUAAUCAAAGGGUCGCAGGUUCGAGUCCUGCCAGGGACGCCA
Molecule: transfer RNA, 77 nt
Filed under: Fusobacteriales bacterium
Lineage: Bacteria; Fusobacteriati; Fusobacteriota; Fusobacteriia; Fusobacteriales
Description: tRNA-Asn
Rfam family: tRNA
About the family: Transfer RNA (tRNA) molecules are approximately 80 nucleotides in length. Their secondary structure includes four short double-helical elements and three loops (D, anti-codon, and T loops). Further hydrogen bonds mediate the characteristic L-shaped molecular structure. tRNAs have two regions of fundamental functional importance: the anti-codon, which is responsible for specific mRNA codon recognition, and the 3' end, to which the tRNAs corresponding amino acid is attached (by aminoacyl-tRNA synthetases). tRNAs cope with the degeneracy of the genetic code in two manners: having more than one tRNA (with a specific anti-codon) for a particular amino acid; and 'wobble' base-pairing, i.e. permitting non-standard base-pairing at the 3rd anti-codon position.
Source: RNAcentral